GGACAGGCAGGGCAGGCCUCUGGAUACAGGACAGGCCGGGCAGGCCUCUGGAUACAGGACAGGCCGGGCAGACCUCUGGAUACAGGAUAGGCAGGGCAGACCUCUGGAUACAGGACAGGCAGGGCAGGCCUCUGGAUACAGGACAGGCCUCUGGAUACAGGACAGGCAGGGCAGGCCUCUGGAUACAGGACAGGCCGGGCAGGCCUCUAGAUACAGGACAGGCCGGGCAGGCCUCUGGAUACAGGACAGGCAGGGCAGGCCUCUGGAUACAGAGCAGGCAGGGCAGAACUCUGGAUACAGGACAGGCAGGGCAGGCCUCUGGAUACAGGACAGGCAGGGCAGGCCUCUGGAUACAGGGCAGGCCUCUGGAUACAGGACAGGCAGGGCAGGCCUCUGGAUACAGGACAGGCAGGGCAGGCUCUGGAUACAGGACAG
Pelobates cultripes (western spadefoot toad) is the source of this 435-nucleotide non-coding RNA. Lineage: Eukaryota; Metazoa; Chordata; Amphibia; Anura; Pelobatidae. The record is from the annotation of a GenBank genome assembly.